CGCCCACUCAGUGGACCUCAGCAGCCGGCUGAGCGUCGACUCGGUGCUACUGCUGCUUCUCCCGUGUCAACAAAGUAUCGUACAAGCUCAGUGUGUGUGUGUGAGAGAGUGUGUGUGAGAGUGUGUGUGAGUGUGACACAAUGGAUACACGUUUCUACCUCAACUGGGAUUUAUAAGGAAGGAAGAAACAGGACUUUACUCUGUUUAUCGUGUUUGUCGUUUUAAUGGAACACCUGCAGGGUCAGGUGAGGUACGCUCUGAACAGGUGAGCAGUGAUGUUUCCAUGUGAUUGAUAAGAGAACGAGACUAGUACCUGAAACGUGAUCUCCUUCCCCGAUUGCGUGUCGUGGUGUCGCUGUGUGUGUUUGGGCGACGCCGUGAAUCAAAGUUAGGAAAUAUGAAGCC
Long non-coding RNA from Ictalurus punctatus (channel catfish), 405 nucleotides. The record is from Ensembl. Lineage: Eukaryota; Metazoa; Chordata; Actinopteri; Siluriformes; Ictaluridae.